AACGAACGCUGGCGGCAUGCCUAACACAUGCAAGUCGAACGGGAUCUUGACUUCGGUCAGGUGAGAGUGGCGGACGGGUGAGUAACACGUGGGAACCUGCCUUUUGGUUCGGGAUAACCGCGGGAAACUGCGGCUAAUACCGGAUACUCCCGAGAGGGGAAAGAUUUAUCGCCAGAAGAGGGGCCCGCGUCCGAUUAGGUAGUUGGUGGGGUAAUGGCCUACCAAGCCGACGAUCGGUAGCUGGUCUGAGAGGAUGAUCAGCCACACUGGGACUGAGAUACGGCCCAGACUCCUACGGGAGGCAGCAGUGGGGAAUAUUGGACAAUGGGGGGCAACCCUGAUCCAGCAAUGCCGCGUGAGUGAUGAAGGCCUUAGGGUUGUAAAGCUCUUUUGCCAGGGAAGAUGGUGACUGUACCUGGAGAAUAAGCCCCGGCUAACUUCGUGCCAGCAGCCGCGGUAAU
This 461-nucleotide ribosomal RNA is filed under the name uncultured bacterium. RNAcentral's name for it is "bacterial SSU rRNA". It matches the Rfam family "Bacterial small subunit ribosomal RNA", at positions 29 to 524 of the family's 1533-position model. The record is from RNAcentral.